UAGGGAAUCUUCCACAAUGGACGCAAGUCUGAUGGAGCAACGCCGCGUGAGUGAAGAAGGUUUUUCGGACCGUAAAGCUCUGUUGUUGGUGAAGAAGGAUAGAGGUAGUAACUGGCCUUUAUUUGACGGUAAUCAACCAGAAAGUCACGGCUAACUACGUGCCAGCAGCCGCGGUAAUACGUAGGUGGCAAGCGUUGUCCGGAUUUAUUGGGCGUAAAGCGAGCGCAGGCGGAAGAAUAAGUCUGAUGUGAAAGCCCUCGGCUUAACCGAGGAAUUGCAUCGGAAACUGUUUUC
This 294-nucleotide ribosomal RNA is filed under the name uncultured bacterium. RNAcentral describes it as "partial 16S ribosomal RNA". It matches the Rfam family "Bacterial small subunit ribosomal RNA", at positions 355 to 640 of the family's 1533-position model. The record is from RNAcentral.